AGAGUUUGAUCCUGGCUCAGAUUGAACGCUGGCGGCAUGCCUUACACAUGCAAGUCGAACGGCAGCACGGGAGCAAUCCUGGUGGCGAGUGGCGAACGGGUGAGUAAAGUAUCGGAACGUGCCCAGUCGUGGGGGAUAACGUAGCGAAAGUUACGCUAAUACCGCAUACGUCCUGAGGGAGAAAGCGGGGGCUCGCAAGACCUCGCGCGAUUGGAGUGGCCGAUAUCUGAUUAGCUAGAUGGUGAGGUAAAAGCUCACCAUGGCGACGAUCAGUAGCUGGUCUGAGAGGAUGAUCAGCCACACUGGGACUGAGACACGGCCCAGACUCCUACGGGAGGCAGCAGUGGGGAAUUUUGGACAAUGGGCGAAAGCCUGAUCCAGCCAUUCCGCGUGAGUGAAGAAGGCCUUCGGGUUGUAAAGCUCUUUCGGCAGGAACGAAA
Molecule: ribosomal RNA, 440 nt
Filed under: uncultured bacterium
Lineage: Bacteria
Description: bacterial SSU rRNA
Rfam family: Bacterial small subunit ribosomal RNA
Source: RNAcentral